RNAcentral lists this ribosomal RNA (497 nucleotides) under uncultured bacterium. RNAcentral's name for it is "partial 16S ribosomal RNA". It matches the Rfam family "Bacterial small subunit ribosomal RNA", at positions 28 to 507 of the family's 1533-position model. The record is from RNAcentral.
GACGAACGCUGGCGGCGUGCCUAAUACAUGCAAGUAGAACGCUGAAGAGAGGAGCUUGCUCUUCUUGGAUGAGUUGCGCACGGGUGAGUAACGCGUAGGUAACCUGCCUUGUAGCGGGGGAUCACUAUUGGAAACGAUAGCUAAUACCGCAUAACAAUGUAUUACCCAUGUCAUUUAUUUGAAAGGGGCAAAUGCUCCACUACAAGAUGGACCUGCGUUGUAUUAGCUAGUAGGUGAGGUAACGGCUCACCUAGGCGACGAUACAUAGCCGACCUGAGAGGGUGAGCGGCCACACUGGGACUGAGACACGGCCCAGACGCCUACGGGAGGCAGCAGUAGGGAAUCUUCGGCAAUGGGGGCAACCCUGACCGAGCAACGCCGCGUGAGUGAAGAAGGUUGUCGGAUCGGAAAGCUCUGUUGUAAGUCAAGAACGAGUGUGAGAGUGGAAAGUUCACACUGUGACGGUAGCUGACCAGAAAGGGACGGCUAACUACGUG